Molecule: ribosomal RNA, 224 nt
Filed under: uncultured bacterium
Lineage: Bacteria
Description: partial 16S ribosomal RNA
Rfam family: Bacterial small subunit ribosomal RNA
Source: RNAcentral
GAUCAUGGCUCAGGAUGAACGCUGGCGGCGUGCUUAACACAUGCAAGUCGAGUGAAGCACUUUGCUUUAAUUUCUUCGGGAUGAAGAGCUUGGUGACUGAGCGGCGGACGGGUGAGUAACGCGUGGGCAACCUGCCUCAUACAGGGGGAUAACGGUUAGAAAUGACUGCUAAUACCGCAUAAGACCACAGCACCGCAUGGUGCAGGGGUAAAAACUCCGGUGGU